AAUAGCGUAUAUUAAGUUGUUGCAGUUAAAAGCUCGUAGUUGAAUUUCGGGAUUAGUACACUGGUCGUGCCAUCGGUAUGUACUGGUGUUACUGGUUCCUACCUUCUGACGAACUGUCAUGUCAUUAAUUUGGUGUGGCGGGAAUCAGGACUGUACUUUGAAAAAUUAGAGUGUUUAAAGCAGGCUCGCGCUUGAAUACAUUAGCAUGGAAUAAUGAAAUAGGACGUUCGAUCCUAUUUUGUUAGGUUUCUAGGAUUGACGUAAUGAUUAAUAGGGAUAGUUGGGGGCAUUAGUAUUCAAUUGUCAGAGGUGAAAUUCUUGGAUUUAUUGAAGACUAACUACUGCGAAAGCAUUUGCCAAGGAUGUUUUCAUUAAUCAAGAACGAAAGUUAGGGGGAUCGAAGACGAUCAGAUACCGUCGUAGUCUUAACCAUAAACUAUGCCGACUAGGGAUCGGAUGAUGUUAUUUUUUAAUGACUCAUUCGGCGCCUUACG
This 494-nucleotide ribosomal RNA is filed under the name uncultured Glomus. RNAcentral describes it as "SSU rRNA". It matches the Rfam family "Eukaryotic small subunit ribosomal RNA", at positions 593 to 1092 of the family's 1831-position model. Lineage: Eukaryota; Fungi; Glomeromycota; Glomeromycetes; Glomerales; Glomeraceae. The record is from RNAcentral.